UACGUAGGGUGCAAGCGUUAAUCGGAAUUACUGGGCGUAAAGCGUGCGCAGGCGGUUUUGUAAGUCUGUCGUGAAAGCCCCGGGCUCAACCUGGGAAUGGCAUUGGAAACUGGCUGGCUAGAGUGUGGCAGAGGGGGGUGGAAUUCCGGCGUGUAGCAGUGAAAUGCGUAGAGAUGCGGAGGAACACCGAUGGCGAAGGCAGCCCCCUGGGCUGACACUGACGCUCAGGCACGAAAGCGUGGGGAGCAAACAGGG
RNAcentral lists this ribosomal RNA (255 nucleotides) under uncultured bacterium. RNAcentral describes it as "partial 16S ribosomal RNA". It matches the Rfam family "Bacterial small subunit ribosomal RNA", at positions 524 to 777 of the family's 1533-position model. The record is from RNAcentral.